This 552-nucleotide long non-coding RNA is filed under the name Cercocebus atys (sooty mangabey). Its description in RNAcentral is "lncRNA (ENSCATG00000045610.1)". The record is from RNAcentral. Lineage: Eukaryota; Metazoa; Chordata; Mammalia; Primates; Cercopithecidae.
ACCUACGCAAUUUAUGGAAAAUUCUACUUUGUCUCCUAGAUAUCCUUGAAGUUAGAAGCACUUAGGAAAACAUUUGCUUUGAGUGCAUUGUAUAGGACCACAUUAACUGGCAUAUAAGGCACGUAGAGAAGAAUGCAAGGAGAAGGGGAAUGAGUUGGAUAAAUCUGUGUAUCUAUGGAAACCACCUCACAUUGUUAAGCUGAGAAGUGGAGAAGAGUUUCAGAACAUUUCAGACGCUCAACGGCUUCUAACUGGCUGCAGUUUUACUACGUGUACCUGAAUCUCAUUGUCACCUUCAAUUAUAUCCAAGGGGAGGUCUGCAUGCAACACAGAAAGGAGAAAGUAGGGAAGAUCAGCAUCUCAGUAUCUUACCAGUAUUUGUCUAUUUAUCCACCACUUUGCAUGACACAGGAUUCCUGGGCAGCAGCUGAAGCUCACUGAUUCUAUUAUCCCAUUUUCUCACCACCUUCACUCUUGUUUUCUUCAAGAAAAUGUCCCAAGGUAUUUUUUUCUCUGAGUAGAUAAAUUUUAGUUUAGGUUUUUUUUUUUUUU